This 1380-nucleotide ribosomal RNA is filed under the name Triticum aestivum (bread wheat). Its description in RNAcentral is "partial small subunit ribosomal RNA". The record is from RNAcentral. Lineage: Eukaryota; Viridiplantae; Streptophyta; Magnoliopsida; Poales; Poaceae.
AUGGAGCGUCGAUCCACCCUUGGUUUCUCUUUACAGCUACAUAUCCUCUCCCUUGCCCUAAACCUUGCAUCCUUCACCACAGCCACUGCCACCAGUGAGGAGGGCCAAUUUGUCUGCUCUGGCUUCUCCGGCAGUACUGACCUCACCCUUGAUGGCACAGCCACGGUUACACCAGAUGGGGUUCUCAAGCUGACCAACGGCACUGUUCACCUCAAGGGCCAUGCGUUCUACCCAACUCCAUGGCAAUUCCACAAGUCGCCCAAUGGGGCGGUACAGUCCUUCUCAAUAAUCUUCGUGUUCGGCAUGGUCCCCGUCUACUCCGAUCAAUGUACUGAUGGCAUGACUUUCCUCAUAUCUCCCACCAAGGAUUUCUCAGGUGCACAAACCUCUCAAUACUUGGGCCUCCUCAAGAAAACAAAUGAUGGCAAACCAAGCAACCACAUAUUUGCAGUCGAGCUUGAUAGUAGCCAAAAUACAGAGUUCAACGACAUCGAUGACAACCAUGUCGGCAUCAACAUCAAUAGUCUCACCUCCACCGAAGCCCGACCAGCUGGCUUCUACGAUGACAAGAACAACGGUAUGUUCAACAACUUGUCUCUCGUUAGCCACAAGGAAAUGCAAGUGUGGGUGGAUUAUGAUGGAGAUACCACACGGAUCAAUGUGACCUUGGCUCCCCUCAAGGUAGCCAAACCAUUGAGGCCACUAGUCUCAACUACCUACAACCUCUCAACAGUGCUACAAGAUCAGUCCUAUGUCGGAUUCUCGGCUUCAACCGGUCCAAUCAACUCACUGUAUUGUGUGCUUGGCUGGAGCAUGGGCAUAAACCGUCCUGCCCCGGACAUUGACAUCACCAAACUGCCAAAGCUACCUCGAAUUGGCCCAAAACCUCAGUCCAAAGUUCUGAAGAUCGUCCUACCAAUAGCCACUACCACUUUCACCUUUCUUGUAGGAACAACUAUAAUUCUAUUCGUGCGGAGGCGAAUGAGGUAUGCCGAGCUACACGAAGACUGGGAGGAUGAGUAUGGGCCACACCGUUUCUCCUACAAGGAUUUAUUCCAUGCUACUCAAGGAUUUCAUGAUCAGAACCUACUUGGCCAUGGAGGAUUUUGGAAGGUGUAUAAAGGUGUUCUUCCGGUCUCUAAACUGGAGGUUGCGGUGAAGAGGGUGUCCCACGAGUCAAAGCAAGGAAUUAAGGAGUUCAUCGCCGAGAUUGUUAGUAUCAGCCGUAUCCGCCACCGCAACAUCGUCCAGUUACUCGGUUAUUAUUUGAAAUCAUCAAAGGUGUUGCAUCUGACUUAUUUUACCUUCACGAGAGGUGGGAGAAAGUUGUCAUCCACCGAGAUAUCAAAGCAAGCAAUGUGCUUCUUGAUAGUGAAAUGA